Molecule: unclassified non-coding RNA, 234 nt
Filed under: Hevea brasiliensis (rubber tree)
Lineage: Eukaryota; Viridiplantae; Streptophyta; Magnoliopsida; Malpighiales; Euphorbiaceae
Source: RNAcentral
UGAGUUUGAAGGGUUAUUGUUGUUGCCAUUUUGGACAGCCAUGGGUCACGUUUUUGAUGAGGUAUUUGUGUAUAUAAUUGAUGAGAAAUAAUGUUAAUCAUGGUGAUUUAGUAACCUAGUGAUUUAAUGCAUGUAUAUAUGGUGAAUGACGCACUUUGAUGGGAAUUGGCAUAUGGUACGGCAAUGUGAUGUUGAUGAGUGAUUUGUGGCAGCUUGUGGACACUUGAGAAAUGG